AUACGAAGGGGGCUAGCGUUGUUCGGAAUUACUGGGCGUAAAGCGCGCGUAGGCGGAUUGGUCAGUUAGGGGUGAAAUCCCAGGGCUUAACCCUGGAACUGCCUCUAAUACUGCCAGUCUUGAGUUCGCGAGAGGUGAGUGGAAUUCCUAGUGUAGAGGUGAAAUUCUUAGAUAUUAGGAAGAACACCAGUGGCGAAGGCGGCUCACUGGCCCGAUACUGACGCUGAGGCGCGAAAGCGUGGGGAGCAAACAGGAUUAGAAACCCUAGUAGUCC
RNAcentral lists this ribosomal RNA (274 nucleotides) under uncultured bacterium. Its description in RNAcentral is "partial 16S ribosomal RNA". It matches the Rfam family "Bacterial small subunit ribosomal RNA", at positions 523 to 796 of the family's 1533-position model. The record is from RNAcentral.